GACGAACGCUGACGGUGUGCUUUAGACAUGCAAGUCGAACGAGAAAGCCCUUCGGGGUGAGUACAGUGGCGAACGGGUGAGUAACACGUGGGCAACCUGCCCCUCGCAGGGGGACGAACCGGAGGAAACUCCGGCUAAUACCCCGUAAGCUUGUUGGGUCGCAUGACCCCUCAAGGAAAGGUAGCUUCGGCCAUCCGGCGAGGGAUGGGCCCGCGGUACAUUAGCUAGUUGGUGGGGUAACGGCCCACCAAGGCGACGAUGUAUAGCUGGUCUGAGAGGAUGAUCAGCCACACUGGGACUGAGACACGGCCCAGACUCCUACGGGAGGCAGCAGUCGGGAAUCUUGCGCAAUGGGCGAAAGCCUGACGCAGCAACACCGUGUGAGCGACGAAGGCC
RNAcentral lists this ribosomal RNA (396 nucleotides) under uncultured bacterium. RNAcentral describes it as "bacterial SSU rRNA". It matches the Rfam family "Bacterial small subunit ribosomal RNA", at positions 28 to 416 of the family's 1533-position model. The record is from RNAcentral.